CCUACUUGUCAAUACGCACGUGUACACAUGAUUAUGAUUAUGAUUACUUGACAACCUUAUGAAUCCCUUUCGCAUUAAUUAUUUUUAAUAAUCAAUCUCAUAGUGUGAGUAGGUACUACAGAUGCAUAUAGGACGCAGAGUAUGUGAUCUUCAUAUUUUAGAGCGUGACAUUUAUGAUAUUCCGAACAUAGGAUCUAAGGACCACCAUCCAUUGGUAGCUACUGCUAAACAACCAUGUACCAGAACGCAUCCGUACAUUGAAUCUAAACAUUCCAUGUAUCCCUCUAAAUAAGUCUUGAAGAAGUUUUAUUAUGCAUGUAGAGAUUAUCCAGUGAUACGUAAUGUAUAUUAAAUACAUUAUUAAUUAUAUACCUGUAACAGAUGAUUCUCGUAUAAAAUUAUACACUCCGUCAUAUUAAUAAUA
Molecule: long non-coding RNA, 424 nt
Organism: Polistes canadensis
Lineage: Eukaryota; Metazoa; Arthropoda; Insecta; Hymenoptera; Vespidae
Exons: 3
Source: RefSeq, a predicted model, not a curated record